This 1039-nucleotide ribosomal RNA is filed under the name uncultured archaeon. RNAcentral's name for it is "bacterial SSU rRNA". It matches the Rfam family "Archaeal small subunit ribosomal RNA", at positions 363 to 1406 of the family's 1478-position model. The record is from RNAcentral.
CAGUGCGAUAGGGGACUCCGAGUGCGAGGGCAUAUAGCCCUCCGCUUUUCUGUACCGUAAGGUGGUACAGGAACAAGGACUGGGCAAGACCGGUGCCAGCCGCCGCGGUAAUACCGGCAGUCCAAGUGAUGGCCGAUAUUAUUGGGCCUAAAGCGUCCGUAGCCGGCCGGACAAGUCCGUUGGGAAAUCGACGCGCUCAACGCGUCGGCGUCCAGCGGAAACUGUCCGGCUUGGGGCCGGAAGACUGAGGGGUACGUCCGGGGUAGGAGUGAAAUCCUGUAAUCCUGGACGGACCACCAAUGGGGAAACCACCUCAGGAAGACGGACCCGACGGUGAGGGACGAAAGCUAGGGUCUCGAACCGGAUUAGAUACCCGGGUAGUCCUAGCUGUAAACGAUGCUCGCUAGGUGUGCCGUAGGCUACGAGCCUGCGCUGCGCCCUAGGGAAGCCGAGAAGCGAGCCGCCUGGGAAGUACGUCUGCAAGGAUGAAACUUAAAGGAAUUGGCGGGGGAGCACCACAACCGGAGGAGCCUGCGGUUUAAUUGGACUCAACGCCGGACAUCUCACCGGUCCCGACAGUAGUAAUGACGGUCAGGUUGACGACUUUACCCGACGCUACUGAGAGGAGGUGCAUGGCCGCCGUCAGCUCGUACCGUGAGGCGUCCUGUUAAGUCAGGCAACGAGCGAGACCCGCACUUCUAGUUGCCAGCAAUACCCUUGAGGUAGUUGGGUACACUAGGAGGACUGCCGCUGCUAAAGCGGAGGAAGGAACGGGCAACGGUAGGUCAGUAUGCCCCGAAUGGACCGGGCAACACGCGGGCUACAAUGGCUCUGACAGUGGGAUGCAACGCCGAGAGGCGAAGCUAAUCUCCAAACGGAGUCGUAGUUCGGAUUGCGGGCUGAAACCCGCCCGCAUGAAGCUGGAUUCGGUAGUAAUCGCGUGUCAGAAGCGCGCGGUGAAUACGUCCCUGCUCCUUGCACACACCGCCCGUCAAAGCACCCGAGUGGGGUCCGGAUGAGGCCGUCAUGCGACGGUCGA